RNAcentral lists this ribosomal RNA (809 nucleotides) under uncultured bacterium. RNAcentral describes it as "bacterial SSU rRNA". It matches the Rfam family "Bacterial small subunit ribosomal RNA", at positions 123 to 914 of the family's 1533-position model. The record is from RNAcentral.
AACCUGCCCCAAAGCGGGGGAUAACAUUUGGAAACAGAUGCUAAUACCGCAUAACCACAGAAACCACAUGGUUUCUGUGUCAAAGAUGGUUUCGGCUAUCACUUUGGGAUGGACCCGCGGCGUAUUAGCUAGUUGGUAAGGUAAUGGCUUACCAAGGCAAUGAUACGUAGCCGAACUGAGAGGUUGAUCGGCCACAUUGGGACUGAGACACGGCCCAAACUCCUACGGGAGGCAGCAGUAGGGAAUCUUCCACAAUGGACGAAAGUCUGAUGGAGCAACGCCGCGUGAGUGAAGAAGGUUUUCGGAUCGUAAAACUCUGUUGUCAGAGAAGAACGUGUGCGAGAGUAACUGUUCGUGCAGUGACGGUAUCUGGCCAGAAAGCCACGGCUAACUACGUGCCAGCAGCCGCGGUAAUACGUAGGUGGCAAGCGUUGUCCGGAUUUAUUGGGCGUAAAGGGAACGCAGGCGGUCUUUUAAGUCUGAUGUGAAAGCCUUCGGCUUAACCGAAGUCGUGCAUUGGAAACUGGGAGACUUGAGUGCAGAAGAGGAGAGUGGAACUCCAUGUGUAGCGGUGAAAUGCGUAGAUAUAUGGAAGAACACCAGUGGCGAAAGCGGCUCUCUGGUCUGUAACUGACGCUGAGGUUCGAAAGCGUGGGUAGCAAACAGGAUUAGAUACCCUGGUAGUCCACGCUGUAAACGAUGAAUGCUAAGUGUUGGAAGGGUUUCCGCCCUUCAGUGCCGCAGCAAACGCAUUAAGCAUUCCGCCUGGGGGAGUACGACCGCAAGGUUGAAACUCAAAGGGAAUUGAC